AGAGCCUCAGCCCCCUGUUUGCAAGAGCUUGUGAGCUAAAGCGUGCCAGGCCCUGAGUGCGAGGCUGGGAUGAACUGGCAUUCCUGCUGGCUCUGGCCUCUGGGACAGCACCUCCUCCAGCUCACUGCCCUCCACCCUUCCAGCUACAGCUCCCUCCGGUGCCCCAGAACCGCCCGGCACUCCGGGGCUCCCAGGUUCAUCUGGGCAUGACUCCGCCCUCCCGACAGAGCCCUCUGCACACCCCCUCCCCACCCUGGCCCAUCGCAGCUCUUCACGAAGACGCUUCAUGGAAUGGGUGAUUUUCCUAAGCACUUUUCUUUCCAUGAUCUCAUUUGGUCCUCACAGCACCUGGAGGAGGGCAGACAGGCUGUUGCUCCAUUUUACAGAUUUUCCAGACCAGGCUUUCUGAGAGGCUGUUAAUGAGCCAAACCAUUCUGCUAACCGUCGUUUUCAGAAGGGCCACCCGGCUCACGGUUCUCUUUAUUCAGGCAAAGCCAUCAAGACCCCGGGUCUUCCUCUGUGGCCCAGGCUGGAGUGCAGUAGCGCA
This 547-nucleotide long non-coding RNA is filed under the name Homo sapiens (human). Its description in RNAcentral is "HSALNT0387460". The record is from RNAcentral. Lineage: Eukaryota; Metazoa; Chordata; Mammalia; Primates; Hominidae.